RNAcentral lists this ribosomal RNA (487 nucleotides) under uncultured bacterium. RNAcentral describes it as "bacterial SSU rRNA". It matches the Rfam family "Bacterial small subunit ribosomal RNA", at positions 28 to 507 of the family's 1533-position model. The record is from RNAcentral.
GACGAACGCUGGCGGCGUGCUUAAUACAUGCAAGUCGAGCGAGGCCUUGGAAUUGGAGUCCUUCGGGAUGAAGAGUCCUUGGCCUAGCGGCGGACGGGUGAGUAACGCGUGGGCAACCUACCCCAAAGUCCGGGAUAACAGUGGGAAACCGCUGCUAAUACCGGAUGGCUUUACCUGAGGGCAUCCUUGGGUAAAGAAAGGUUACGCUUUGGGAUGGGCCCGCGUCCCAUUAGCUAGUUGGUGAGGUAACGGCUCACCAAGGCGACGAUGGGUAGCCGGCCUGAGAGGGUGAACGGCCACACUGGGACUGAGACACGGCCCAGACUCCUACGGGAGGCAGCAGUAGGGAAUAUUGCGCAAUGGGCGAAGCCUGACGCAGCGACGCCGCGUGAGCGAAGAAGGCCUUCGGGUCGUAAAGCUCUGUCCUUGGGGAAGAAGGCGAAAGCUUGACGGUACCCAAAGAAGAAAGCCCCGGACUAACUACGUG